Molecule: ribosomal RNA, 253 nt
Filed under: uncultured bacterium
Lineage: Bacteria
Description: partial 16S ribosomal RNA
Rfam family: Bacterial small subunit ribosomal RNA
Source: RNAcentral
UACGAAGGGUGCAAGCGUUACUCGGAAUUACUGGGCGUAAAGCGUGCGUAGGUGGUUCGUUAAGUCUGUCGUGAAAGCCCCGGGCUCAACCUGGGAAUGGCGAUGGAUACUGGCGAGCUAGAGUGCGGUAGAGGAGAGUGGAAUUCCCGGUGUAGAAGUGAAAUGCGUAGAGAUCGGGAGGAACAUCAGUUGCGAAGGCGGCUCUCUGGACCAGCACUGACACUGAGGCACGAAAGCGUGGGGAGCAAACAGG